RNAcentral lists this long non-coding RNA (1090 nucleotides) under Oreochromis niloticus (Nile tilapia). RNAcentral's name for it is "lncRNA (ENSONIG00000030748.1)". Lineage: Eukaryota; Metazoa; Chordata; Actinopteri; Cichliformes; Cichlidae. The record is from RNAcentral.
AUGCUCUUGCUAACCUCAGAUUCCCUCUCAGUAUUGGAAUGUAUUGUAAUAGUUUUUGCGGCCUGUUGUAGCGCGGCAGGUUGUUUUGUUCCGGCGUUGCGGAGAGAGGUGCUUGUGUGAUUUCCCCCACCAGUGAGAGUAUAGCGCCUCCGGUCCUGGGGUAAGCUGUUCAAACUAUUUUUAUUAGCAUUCACAGCUACCAGAGGCUAAGGUUACAUUUAUCUGUUUUAGGGUUGGAGCGCUGCCUUCACCUCCGUGGCAACUCACACAGCCUUAAGUGAAGAAUCAAGACACCUGCCUAGCCGUUGUUGUGAGGGCUCCUCCUCAGUGGAGCCUGCUGUCUUGUCUUGUCUUGUCUUGUCUUGUCUUGUCUUGUCUUGUCUUGUCUGGUUUUGAAUUGUUUUAUCGUGUCUUAUCUUGUUUUAUUAAGUAGGCCUACCAUUUCCUGGUUCGCCUGGUUUUAUUUUAUUUUAUUUCUGAACUGUGGCGUGUGCCCACGCUUCUGUGAUCGGGCUGAAGCCAUUCUUUGCCCGAGUGUCGUGCCGGGGAUUUUAAAUUGCCCCCGUUGCUGGUCUUAGCCUGUGGGGAGCCAGACCAGCUCGCGAUUGAGGCUGGGACCAUUACUACCAGUACGAGUGGACCCGUGGGGCACAAGCCUUCCUGUGUGUGUGUGUGUGUGUGUGUGUGUGUGUGUGGUUUCUUUUAUUAAAGUGUGUUUUAGUUCUUUUUAUCAUCUGUAGCGAGCCUGACGCUCAGUGUCCUUUUAUUCUUUUAACAUAUUUUUCUGUGUUUUCUUUUAGUGAACGGAGGACGUACCAGUGGCCCUGGGACCUUAGGUGGGUUGGAGCGCUGCCUUCACCUCCGUGGCAACUCACACAGCCUUAAGUGAAGAAUCAAGACACCUGCCUAGCCGUUGUUGUGAGGGCUCCUCCUCAGUGGAGCCUGCUGUCUUGUCUUGUCUUGUCUUGUCUUGUCUUGUCUGGUUUUGAAUUGUUUUAUCGUGUCUUAUCUUGUUUUAUUAAGUAGGCCUACCAUUUCCUGGUUCGCCUGGUUUUAUUUUAUUUUAUUUCUGAACUGUGGCGUGUGCCCA